This 439-nucleotide ribosomal RNA is filed under the name uncultured bacterium. Its description in RNAcentral is "bacterial SSU rRNA". It matches the Rfam family "Bacterial small subunit ribosomal RNA", at positions 29 to 510 of the family's 1533-position model. The record is from RNAcentral.
AACGAGCGCUGGCGGCAUGCCUAACACAUGCAAGUCGAACGAAGGCUUCGGCCUUAGUGGCGCACGGGUGCGUAACGCGUGGGAAUCUGCCCUUGGGUUCGGAAUAACUCAGAGAAAUUUGAGCUAAUACCGGAUGAUGACGUAAGUCCAAAGAUUUAUCGCCCAAGGAUGAGCCCGCGUAAGAUUAGCUAGUUGGUGGGGUAAAGGCCUACCAAGGCGACGAUCUUUAGCUGGUCUGAGAGGAUGGAUCAGCCACACUGGGACUGAGACACGGCCCAGACUCCUACGGGAGGCAGCAGUGGGGAAUAUUGGACAAUGGGCGAAAGCCUGAUCCAGCAAUGCCGCGUGAGUGUUGAAGGCCUUAGGGUUGUAAAGCUCUUUUACCAGGGAUGAUAAUGACAGUACCUGGAGAAUAAAGCUUCCGGCUAACUCCGUAGGU